This is a non-coding RNA of Microcebus murinus (gray mouse lemur), 1577 nucleotides long. Lineage: Eukaryota; Metazoa; Chordata; Mammalia; Primates; Cheirogaleidae. The record is from RefSeq and is a predicted model, not a curated record.
AUGUUGGUGCACAACAUUUUAUGGGAAAAACAAAACAAGAAGAAAGUGGAGGAGGUGCUAGAAGAGGAAUAUGUGGUGGAAAAAGUUCUCGACCGUCGAGUGGUAAAGGGCAAAGUGGAGUACCUCCUAAAGUGGAAGGGUUUCUCGGAUGAGGACAACACGUGGGAGCCAGAAGAGAACCUGGAUUGCCCUGACCUCAUUGCUGAGUUUCUGCAGUCACAGAAAACAGCACAUUAGACAGAUAAAUCAGAAGGAGGCAAGCGCAAAGCUGAUUCUGAUUCUGAAGAUAAGGGAGAAGAGAGCAAAUGAAAGAAGAAAAAAGAAGAGUCAGAAAAGCCACGAGGUUUUGCUCGGGGUUUGGAGCCGGAGCGGAUUAUUGGAGCUACAGACUCCAGUGGAGAGCUCAUGUUUCUGAUGAAAUGGAAAAAUUCUGAUGAGGCUGACCUGGUCCCUGCCAAGGAAGCCAAUGUCAAGUGCCCACAGGUUGUUAUAUCCUUCUAUGAGGAAAGGCUGACGUGGCAUUCCUACCCCUCGGAGGAUGAUGACAAAAAAGAUGACAAGAAUUAACUCUCCUGAGUACCAGCCCCUGUCACAUCUGACUGUGGGUUUCAAGUGGGGAGGGAAGGAGUUUUACUUGUCUUGACACCAUAGAGGUGGCUUGAGAAGAUGUCCUUUGAAGAGCCAGUAUAGUUUCUGUGCCCUGCAGCAGCCCAAAGUGCUUUAACGCCGUUCAAGCUGUAUAGUUUGCACACCAAUCCCAGUGGAGAGGAAGGGGGAUAAGUGUUUCAAGGCAGCCCAUUCUGCUCUUUGUUGAGAAAAGCAAAGGGCCUUCUGUGAAGGACAAAACUUGUAGAAUUGGGUGUGUGGGAGAACAAAAAGAUACUGUAGAUCUUCAAAGAGCAUCUCCACAACCCACAGCCUUCUUCCCAAUAGUGUUAACUCUGCAUUUUUACAGCGUAGCAUGUGUGUAGUUUUUGGCUAUUACUGGUGUAUUAUUUGGGGGUGGGAGGGAUGGGAUGGGAAAGAAGGGAGAUAAGUAGGAUCAUUUUGGUUAAAAUUUAGGGCCUGAUUGGGGAAAUGGUGAAAUAAUGGAAAGAACAGACAACUAAUGAUUUGCUUCUAUGUCCAUAAUAUUUUACCUUUUCAAAAAAUGUCAUUGACACCACGAAUGAGGACUAUGAGAGACUGUUUAAAAGCUGUGAAUGCCUGAAACCUAUAAGCCAAGGUGUUCCCUGCCUGAGCUUAAUACUGUUCCCCACAAAGUACUAAGCCAGCUCAUAAGUUACCAAAGCUGCCAUUUUGGAGAUGGAAACUGAUUAAGGGGAAAUCUUGUAUUGGAGAGUAUACAUUGGCAGAUCAUUCUGUCCUAGAGGUGCUAAUUCCUGAAAUUAAACAAGACGACCCUUUCUUUUCCAGGUAUGAAGUUAUAAAUAGCUUGUUCAUCCAAGCCACUGGCUGAGGUGUUGGGGAAGAGGGUGGUACAGGAGAUGGAAGAGUGAGCAGGGAAGAUGAGGGCCCAUGCUCUUAGGGCAGAGAACUCUUGGAGCCUCUCUGUUGUGUUUUUUUUUUUUUUCUUU